UACGUAGGAUGAAAGCGUUGUCCGGAUUUAUUGGUUUUAAAGAGUGCGUAGGCGGCCUAUUAAGUUAGUGGUGAAAACGUCCGGCUUAAUCGGAUACCCGCCAUUGAUACUGAUAGACUUGAGUGCGACAGAGGGUGUUGGAAUGUGUGGUGUAGCGGUGAAAUGCUUAGAUAUCACGCAGAACACCAAUUGCGAAGGCAGAUGCCUAUGUCGUAACUGACGCUGAGGCACGAAAGCGUGGGGAUCAAACAGG
This 253-nucleotide ribosomal RNA is filed under the name uncultured bacterium. RNAcentral describes it as "partial 16S ribosomal RNA". It matches the Rfam family "Bacterial small subunit ribosomal RNA", at positions 524 to 776 of the family's 1533-position model. The record is from RNAcentral.